RNAcentral lists this small nuclear RNA (140 nucleotides) under Ascoidea rubescens DSM 1968. RNAcentral describes it as "U4 spliceosomal RNA". It matches the Rfam family "U4 spliceosomal RNA". From Rfam's summary of the family: U4 small nuclear RNA (U4 snRNA) is a component of the major U2-dependent spliceosome. The record is from Rfam by way of RNAcentral. Lineage: Eukaryota; Fungi; Ascomycota; Saccharomycetes; Ascoideales; Ascoideaceae.
AUCCUUGUGCAAGGGCAUUACGCAUUCAAUGAGGAUUCGUCCGAGAUUGUGUUUUUGCUGGUUGAAAAUUAUACCAUGACCACUCCUUAGUUUUAUCUUUUUUAAAGAGGAAACUAAGGGAAUUUUUGGAACUGCAUUAU